UGGGGAAUUUUGCACAAUGGGGGAAACCCUGAUGCAGCGACGCCGCGUGAUUUAGAAGGCCUUCGGGUUGUAAAAAUCUUUUCUAUGGGAAGAAAAUGACAGUACCAUAGGAAUAAGGACCGGCUAAUUACGUGCCAGCAGCCGCGGUAAUACGUAAGGUCCGAGCGUUGUCCGGAAUCAUUGGGCGUAAAGGGUACGUAGGCGGGUAAGCAAGUUAGAAGUGAAAUCCUAUAGCUCAACUAUAGUAAGCUUUUAAAACUGCUCAUCUUGAGGUAUGGAAGGGAAAGUGGAAUUCCUAGUGUAGCGGUGAAAUGCGCAGAUAUUAGGAGGAGUACCGGUGGCGAAGGCGACUUUCUGGCCAUAACCUGACGCUGAGGUACGAAAGAGUGGGUAGCAAACAGG
RNAcentral lists this ribosomal RNA (402 nucleotides) under bacterium. RNAcentral describes it as "partial 16S ribosomal RNA". It matches the Rfam family "Bacterial small subunit ribosomal RNA", at positions 355 to 776 of the family's 1533-position model. The record is from RNAcentral.